GGUGUCUUUAGUUUAUGCGGUAAAACACUAGGUUGUGACCUUAGAGAACAGGGUUCGAAUCCCGGAGAUACCC
RNAcentral lists this transfer RNA (73 nucleotides) under Flavobacteriaceae bacterium. Its description in RNAcentral is "tRNA-His". It matches the Rfam family "tRNA". Rfam says of the family: Transfer RNA (tRNA) molecules are approximately 80 nucleotides in length. Their secondary structure includes four short double-helical elements and three loops (D, anti-codon, and T loops). Further hydrogen bonds mediate the characteristic L-shaped molecular structure. tRNAs have two regions of fundamental functional importance: the anti-codon, which is responsible for specific mRNA codon recognition, and the 3' end, to which the tRNAs corresponding amino acid is attached (by aminoacyl-tRNA synthetases). tRNAs cope with the degeneracy of the genetic code in two manners: having more than one tRNA (with a specific anti-codon) for a particular amino acid; and 'wobble' base-pairing, i.e. permitting non-standard base-pairing at the 3rd anti-codon position. Lineage: Bacteria; Pseudomonadati; Bacteroidota; Flavobacteriia; Flavobacteriales; Flavobacteriaceae. The record is from RNAcentral.